UACUAGCUUUAGCGAUGGAUCGGUUGAUUCGCGUAUCGAUGAAAAACGCAGCAA
RNAcentral lists this ribosomal RNA (54 nucleotides) under Litoditis marina. Its description in RNAcentral is "5.8S ribosomal RNA". The record is from RNAcentral. Lineage: Eukaryota; Metazoa; Nematoda; Chromadorea; Rhabditida; Rhabditidae.